Molecule: ribosomal RNA, 1646 nt
Filed under: Staphylococcus pseudintermedius
Lineage: Bacteria; Bacillati; Bacillota; Bacilli; Caryophanales; Staphylococcaceae
Description: partial 23S ribosomal RNA
Rfam family: Bacterial large subunit ribosomal RNA
Source: RNAcentral
CAUGUGGAGCGCUUAGAAGUGAGAAUGCCGGUGUGAGUAGCGAAAGACGGGUGAGAAUCCCGUCCACCGAUUGACUAAGGUUUCCAGAGGAAGGCUCGUCCGCUCUGGGUUAGUCGGGUCCUAAGCUGAGGCCGACAGGCGUAGGCGAUGGAUAACAGGUUGAUAUUCCUGUACCACCAUUAUUCGUUUUAAGCGAUGGGGGGACGCAGUAGGAUAGGCGAAGCGUGCUGUUGGAGUGCACGUCCAAGCAGUGAGAUUGAGUGUUAGGCAAAUCCGGCACUCUUAAGAUUGAGCUGUGAUGGGGAGAGGAACUUGUUCCUCGAGUCGUUGAUUUCACACUGCCGAGAAAAGCCUCUAGCUAGAAUAACGGUGCCCGUACCGCAAACCGACACAGGUAGUCAAGAUGAGAAUUCUAAGGUGAGCGAGCGAACUCUCGUUAAGGAACUCGGCAAAAUGACCCCGUAACUUCGGGAGAAGGGGUGCUCUUUGAGGUUCACGCUUCGAAGAGCCGCAGUGAAUAGGCCCAAGCGACUGUUUAUCAAAAACACAGGUCUCUGCUAAACCGUAAGGUGACGUAUAGGGGCUGACGCCUGCCCGGUGCUGGAAGGUUAAGAGGAGUGGUUAGCGCAAGCGAAGCUACGAAUCGAAGCCCCAGUAAACGGCGGCCGUAACUAUAACGGUCCUAAGGUAGCGAAAUUCCUUGUCGGGUAAGUUCCGACCCGCACGAAAGGCGUAACGAUUUGGGCACUGUCUCAACGAGAGACUCGGUGAAAUCAUAGUACCGGUGAAGAUGCCGGUUACCCGCGACAGGACGGAAAGACCCCGUGGAGCUUUACUGUAGCCUGAUAUUGAAAUUCGGUACAGUUUGUACAGGAUAGGUAGGAGCCUUAGAAGCGUGAGCGCUAGCUUACGUGGAGGCAUUGGUGGGAUACUACCCUAAUUGUAUUGGAUUUCUAACCCGCAGCACUUAUCGUGCUGGGAGACAGUGUCAGGCGGGCAGUUUGACUGGGGCGGUCGCCUCCUAAAGAGUAACGGAGGCGCUCAAAGGUUCCCUCAGAAUGGUUGGAAAUCAUUCAUAGAGUGUAAAGGCAUAAGGGAGCUUGACUGCGAGACCUACAAGUCGAGCAGGGUCGAAAGACGGACUUAGUGAUCCGGUGGUUCCGCAUGGAAGGGCCAUCGCUCAACGGAUAAAAGCUACCCCGGGGAUAACAGGCUUAUCUCCCCCAAGAGUUCACAUCGACGGGGAGGUUUGGCACCUCGAUGUCGGCUCAUCGCAUCCUGGGGCUGUAGUCGGUCCCAAGGGUUGGGCUGUUCGCCCAUUAAAGCGGUACGCGAGCUGGGUUCAGAACGUCGUGAGACAGUUCGGUCCCUAUCCGUCGUGGGCGUAGGAAAUUUGAGAGGAGCUGUCCUUAGUACGAGAGGACCGGGAUGGACAUACCUCUGGUGUACCAGUUGUCGUGCCAACGGCAUAGCUGGGUAGCUAUGUAUGGACGGGAUAAGUGCUGAAAGCAUCUAAGCAUGAAGCCCCCCUCGAGAUGAGAUUUCCCAACUUCGGUUAUAAGAUCCCUCAAAGAUGAUGAGGUGAAUAGGUUCGAGGUGGAAGCGUAGCGAUACGUGGAGCUGACGAAUACUAAUCGAUCGAAGAC